Molecule: transfer RNA, 69 nt
Filed under: Rhinobatos hynnicephalus (angel fish)
Lineage: Eukaryota; Metazoa; Chordata; Chondrichthyes; Rhinopristiformes; Rhinobatidae
Description: tRNA-Asp
Source: RNAcentral
GAGAUUCUAGUAAAACCAUUACAUUACCUUGUCAGAGUAAAAUUGUGAGCUAAUACCUCACGAAUCUUA